AUGGUGUGGUCCGUCCGCGUCCCCCUGAAGAUUCGCAUCUUCAUGUGGCAGUGGAUCCGUGGACGGAUCCCGUCCGGUGUGGAGGUCCGCAAGCGUAAUGGCCCGGGCACUGGUAUCUGCCCCCUCUGUGCUGUUCCCGAGGACUCCAACCACAUCUUCUUCGCCUGCGUCUCCGCCCGGUUCCUCUGGAGCUGCUUUCGCGAGAUUGUCGGUGGGAGUUGGUGCCACACCAAUUUCCCGGACUUAUUUGCUGAACUCCAAUUGUCCCCUUCGUCCUCUCGCCACAUUAGGUGGUUCGAGGUUGGGGUCCUUGCCUGGACGCUUUGGACCAUUCGCAAUAAGCUAGUGAUCCAGCGUACUCCUCUUCGUCGCGCUACUGAUGCUCUCUACAAAUUCUCGGGUUUCUUGCAGCUUUGGCGGCCGCUUAGCCGCCCCCUGGAUUGGGACGCCAUCUCUGCCUUCAUCGCCGAUCUCCGCUCGAUGGCCGUCCGCCUGUCGCCUCCGCCGGAGCCUGACUAG
This 519-nucleotide ribosomal RNA is filed under the name Triticum aestivum (bread wheat). Its description in RNAcentral is "partial small subunit ribosomal RNA". The record is from RNAcentral. Lineage: Eukaryota; Viridiplantae; Streptophyta; Magnoliopsida; Poales; Poaceae.